UACAGAGGGGGCAAGCGUUAUUCGGAAUUAUUGGGCGUAAAGGGCGCGUAGGCGGCUUUUUAAGUCAGAUGUGUAAUCCCCGAGCUCAACUUGGGAACUGCAUCUGAGACUGGAAGGCUAGAGUACUGGAGAGGGUGGUAGAAUUCCACGUGUAGCGGUGAAAUGCGUAGAGAUGUGGAGGAAUACCAGUGGCGAAGGCGGCCACCUGGACAGUAACUGACGCUGAGACGCGAAAGCGUGGGUAGCAAACAGG
RNAcentral lists this ribosomal RNA (253 nucleotides) under uncultured Geothrix sp. RNAcentral's name for it is "partial 16S ribosomal RNA". It matches the Rfam family "Bacterial small subunit ribosomal RNA", at positions 524 to 776 of the family's 1533-position model. Lineage: Bacteria; Pseudomonadati; Acidobacteriota; Holophagae; Holophagales; Holophagaceae. The record is from RNAcentral.